This 497-nucleotide ribosomal RNA is filed under the name uncultured bacterium. RNAcentral describes it as "partial 16S ribosomal RNA". It matches the Rfam family "Bacterial small subunit ribosomal RNA", at positions 28 to 507 of the family's 1533-position model. The record is from RNAcentral.
GAUGAACGCUGGCGGCGUGCCUAAUACAUGCAAGUCGAGCGAACAUACGAGGAGCUUGCUCCUCUUACGUUAGCGGCGGACGGGUGAGUAACACGUGAAUAACCUACCUAUAAGACUGGGAUAACUUCGGGAAACCGGAGCUAAUACCGGAUAAUCUCUUGAUCCGCAUUGUUCAAGAGUGAAAGACGUUUUUUCUGUUACUUAUAGACUCAUCUGCGCUAUACUAGCUAGUUGGUAAGGUAACGACUUACCAAAGCAACGAUGCGUAGCCUCCAUGAUAGGGACAUCGGCUAGACGGGAAGAGAGACACGGUCGACACUCCUACGCGGGGACACAGUCGGGACUCUUACGGAAUGCAGGAAAGCCUGACGGAGCAACGCCGCGUGAGUGCUGAUGGUCCUAGGCUCGGAAAACUAAGUAAUUAUGCAAAAACAAAUGUGUAGGCAACAAUGAACGUAUUGACGGUACCUAACAAGAAAGCAACGGCUAACUACGUG